UGUAAUUGUUCUGUUGCCGUGGCAACUAUCAACCUGCAGAGUCAGCUAGUUCAGGGUGAGCUUGCUGUGGCUUGGGUGCUGGCCCAGCCAGCAGACCCUCCUUCAGCAUUACGGAAACACCCCAUUCGGUGCCCUCCAAGUCCCAGCAGGAUCUCCCAGCCCUCUGUGCUCACCUGUCUUGGCAGCUACUCAGGAAGUUUGUGCUGCUGAUAGUCCACAGAAACUGUGACUGGCCCCCUCUCCUCAACAAGAAACUGGUGUCACCCUUGGCUUUCAGGGGUUCACUAUUGGCCAUGUGGAGGCUCUUCAAAGAAGAUUCUGAAGUGUCAGAGUAGGAACAAUGUGACUUUGUUGGAGCUGGAAUUGGAGACUGAGCACAGCUGUAGCGCUCUCGGCGCCUCCCUGGCCCUCUGCGGCACUUCCUGUCACUGAGCUGUCCAGGGAGAGAGCCUUGUGGAUGGGUAGGUAACUGAGCCCACUUCACACAGAGGGCACUCACACCCAGCGCCCCUGUGAUGACCAAGAGUCCCAGCUCAAAGGAACAUCUGCAAUGCUUCCCUCCUUCCUUCAUCUCCCCUAGUAUCUCCCACCCCAAGGUUGGUUUCAGCACUUUGCACUUCUGUGGAAGCUUUUAUCUCGGUCCAUUUUGCAUAGCUUCUUCCCUCCCCUCCAAAGACACCACCUACCUUCUACCAAUGCAGACCCGCUUCCCAGUUUUGAAUAUUAUACAAAUGAUCGCAUUAGGUGUCCUAUUGUUGGACUUGUACAAAACUGGCUUUGUUUCUGUCAGCUCUGGUAUUGGAGCCUGGUGAGCUUCAGGAGCAACUUCUGAAAGAGAAGCCUUGCAGGGAAAGCUUUCCUGCCAAAUGCCUGAGAGGAACUGUAUUUCUUCAGAUGGGCUUUUGAGCUUGGCCUCCAGGUGUCAACUUUUAUAAGGCUUCCUGUACUGUAACAGGGUGUAGCCAAGAGGGGGACCCCAAAUAGGGAUUUGUAAUGGGGUCCAGAACUCAAGAUGUCCAGGAAAUAU
Long non-coding RNA from Phyllostomus discolor (pale spear-nosed bat), 1027 nucleotides. RefSeq lists it as uncharacterized. The transcript is spliced from 3 exons. The record is from RefSeq and is a predicted model, not a curated record. NCBI's taxonomy places the organism in Eukaryota, Metazoa, Chordata, Mammalia, Chiroptera, Phyllostomidae.